This 336-nucleotide ribosomal RNA is filed under the name uncultured Sphingobacteriales bacterium. RNAcentral describes it as "bacterial SSU rRNA". It matches the Rfam family "Bacterial small subunit ribosomal RNA", at positions 1047 to 1382 of the family's 1533-position model. The record is from RNAcentral. Lineage: Bacteria; Pseudomonadati; Bacteroidota; Sphingobacteriia; Sphingobacteriales.
CGUUGUCGUCAGCUCGUGCCGUGAGGUGUCGGGUUAAGUCCCAUAACGAGCGCAACCCCUAUCAUUAGUUGCCAUCAGGUCAAGCUGGGGACUCUAAUGAAACUGCCUACGCAAGUAGUGAGGAAGGUGGGGAUGACGUCAAAUCAGCACGGCCCUUACGUCCAGGGCUACACACGUGCUACAAUGGCCGGUACAAAGGGCAGCUACCUGGUGACAGGAUGCUAAUCUCAAAAGCCGGUCUCAGUUCGGAUCGGAGUCUGCAACCCGACUCCGUGAAGCUGGAAUCGCUAGUAGUCGCGCAUCAGCCAUGGCGCGGUGAAUACGUUCCCGGGCCUU